UGAACGGCGGCUGCUGGGCGAACAACUGCUCGGCGGCAGCUGGGUGAACGGAGACGGUGAUGGUGGUGAACGCCUCCAGCAAGCGUGGGUUCUCGGCUCCAGCACUCUCGGCGUCGUUGACAGGAACGGUGACAGGAAAAUCUUCUCCGGCGUUGGUUCUCGGCUCCAACACUCUCGGCGGCGGUGCGGGUUCUCGGCUCCAUCACUCUCGGCGGCGGCGUGCUUCUCAGCGUGGGUCUCUGCUGGUUGCUGGUUGCUGGUUCACGAUUCCAGCAGACCUCAUCUCUCUCAAAAUCCCUAGAAUUCCUCUACACAUCUAGCUCUCACUGCCUUUGAAAUCCCUCAUUUCAGUACAAAGGGACCAAAGCCCAAAUGAAUCCUCAUCAUAUCAUCUCACUGUUUCUAUGUGCAUCAUCUUCCCCCUUCUUUCUCUACGGAGCUGUCUAGGUUUCAUUUCAUUUACAACCAAGUGUGCUGUUGCAGCCCCAAAUUAGUAGAAAUUAAAUGAUGGCUUCUACUAAAGAUCAAGUUCUACAAGCUAGCAAAUACUGUCGGAAAUUGCACUAAAUGAUCAGGUUCGUCGCCUGAAAGAAUUUGGGGUUACCAAGGGAGAAUUGACUCGCUAUUUGGAUGUACUUUUGAAAGAUAGUGAACAUCUGGCAGCUAUGAUUGAUAAUGUGUCAUCUGUAGAUAAUUUGGAUUUCAUUAUGGAGAGUGACGCAUUGGGCCAUACAGUAAUGGACCAGAGGCAAGGACAUGAGAGUUUGGUCACUGUUGCUGGAACAAUUAAACUUGAGGAGGUAACAACUUUACUAUACAAGACUAGUUCUGUCUUUAGAAUCUGUACUGUGUUGAGCUUGAUGAUCUUCUGUAAGAACUUAGCUCUUCAUUCAAAUAAUAAUAUUAAAUUAAAUGGCAGUCUUGUUGAGGUAGUGUGGUUAUAUAGCUUUAUGGUGAAGUUUUAUUCAUCUUUGGGUGUGUUGUGCUUUUGUGCAAAAAAUUAAGCAGUUAUCUUAGUUUUGGUCAUUUGGUUAACUGGUGAACUAAAGUGUUUUUUUUUACCGUCUGUGCAGCCUCCUAGUAUAUAUUUAUUGAUCUUUUAUUCUCAGUUA
This is a long non-coding RNA of Humulus lupulus (European hop), 1112 nucleotides long. RefSeq lists it as uncharacterized. The transcript has 4 exons. NCBI's taxonomy places the organism in Eukaryota, Viridiplantae, Streptophyta, Magnoliopsida, Rosales, Cannabaceae. The record is from RefSeq and is a predicted model, not a curated record.